AAUUGGUAUUAAAAGGUUGGAGGAAGACGAGCUAUGCAUCAGGAGUCUUACAGUAGGAAAGGAGACCACUUGGAGACACAUAGGACAGAUGACCCGCAAAUCCCACAUGAAGCAAGGAGAUUAAUAACAGAGAUUGUACUUUGCAGAGGAUGGAAGUGUCAAAGUGUUCUGACUUGCCUAAAUCAAGCAAAAGUUUCUGCAUCUACAAAACCAAGCAAGCCCCAACCAUGUUUACAUUCUUUUCUGCAUAUUUCUUUGCCCAGCAGCACCUCAGCACUGAAGAGUGUUCAAGAGUAAACAUCAUUCUUUAUAUAGACUCCAAGAAGAGGUAACCCAAGCAAAUAUCAUGCGACUAGAAG
Molecule: long non-coding RNA, 359 nt
Organism: Pan paniscus (pygmy chimpanzee)
Lineage: Eukaryota; Metazoa; Chordata; Mammalia; Primates; Hominidae
Source: Ensembl